UGCAGCUGUUGUUUGUUCCUCAGAGCAGCCCCCACUUCGCCCUCUUGGAAGCUCUGGUGGAAAUGGGGCUUCUCUCAUUCUAAUGUCUGUUCUUGAGACCGCAACAGAGCUAUUGAAUGAGCUUCAAGAUGCUAGCAGCUAUAAUAUGACAAAUCGAGCACUUUGGAAGGCCUCAUUUGAUGAGUUUUUUGGACUUCUUAUAAAGUAUUGUGUAAAUAAAUAUGAUAGUAUUAUGCAUUCUUCUCUACAAGAUCCAGCUGAAGCUAUUAAGAGAGAACUACCUAUGGAGCUCCUUCGUGUCAGUGUUCCCCACACAAACGACUACCAGAAAAAGAUGUUAUAUGAUCUUUCCCAGCGUUCCCUAGUUGGUCAAGAUGGUGGCAAUGGUGGUCACAUGAAUUCUUAAUUAGUGUUGAGUUGGUACAAGGCUACAAGAAAAUAUGAUGGAAUUUAAAAGCCAUUAGUCCUGAGAUGGUGCUGAGUUCUGAAAGAGUGAAUAUAAAAGAGACUAUUGGACCAGCAAUGUUCUUGGGUAUUUGUUUUUAAUUUGUGUCUGCACACCAUGUGUAAUUAGGAUUACAUGGUGUGAAUGAUGCAGAAGCUUUGGAACAACCUAUUGCAAAUUCUGUUUAGUUCUUUCAGAUUUUAGCAUAUUUUAGUCAUUUUCACUCAAUUUCCUUGGCUAAACCUGUAACCGGGCUGUGUUGUAUUGCGGUAGAAAUCUGUUGGGUUUUUCCAUUCCUUUGAGAAUU
This 752-nucleotide unclassified non-coding RNA is filed under the name Hevea brasiliensis (rubber tree). Lineage: Eukaryota; Viridiplantae; Streptophyta; Magnoliopsida; Malpighiales; Euphorbiaceae. The record is from RNAcentral.